AAAAACAAUGGUAUCACCCUAUUCAAAGGAUUGAAAGAGUCUUGUUUGGAGUUGUGUGGGGUUGAAUAUUUAUGUUUGUAAUAUUUUAGAAGUUGGUAGGAAAAGAAAAGAAAAAUAGAAAAGAAAAAAAAAUGAAAGAAAAAAAAAAAAGAAGGAUCUAUACAUGUCAAUACAUACUCCUUAUGAAAAAGAAAAAAAAAAGAAAAGAGAAAAAAAAUUAUAUGAAUGAAAAUAGUUAAUAUAGAGUUGUUGAAGUGAAUGAAAUAUUUUGUAAAUUCAACUCUCGCAGUUUCUUUCAAGUCUCUUUUGUCUUUUUGAAUUUUAGCCUAGUACCCCUUAGGA
This 342-nucleotide long non-coding RNA is filed under the name Lathyrus oleraceus (garden pea). Its description in RNAcentral is "Pisum sativum (pea) long non-coding RNA (PSAT_LNC022413)". The record is from RNAcentral. Lineage: Eukaryota; Viridiplantae; Streptophyta; Magnoliopsida; Fabales; Fabaceae.